GACGAACGCUGGCGGCGUGCUUAACACAUGCAAGUCGAACGGAAAGGCCCUGCUUUUGUGGGGUGCUCGAGUGGCGAACGGGUGAGUAACACGGGAGUAACCUGCCCUGGACUUUGGGAUAACUUCAGGAAACUGGGGCUAAUACCGGAUAGGAGCUCCUGCUGCAUGGUGGGGGUUGGAAAGUUUCGGCGGUUGGGGAUGGACUCGCGGCUUAUCAGCUUGUGGGUGGGGUAGUGGCUUACCAAGGCUUUGACGGGUAGCCGGCCUGAGAGGGUGACCGGCCACAUUGGGACUGCGAUACGGCCCAGACUCCUACGGGAGGCAGCAGUGGGGAAUAUUGCACAAUGGGCGGAAGCCUGAUGCAGCAACGCCGCGUGCGGGAUGACGGCCUUCGGGUUGUAAACCGCUUUCGCCUGUGACGAAGCGUGAGUGACGGUAAUGGGUAAAGAAGCACCGGCUAACUACGUG
RNAcentral lists this ribosomal RNA (468 nucleotides) under uncultured bacterium. RNAcentral's name for it is "partial 16S ribosomal RNA". It matches the Rfam family "Bacterial small subunit ribosomal RNA", at positions 28 to 507 of the family's 1533-position model. The record is from RNAcentral.